CACCUGGGAAACGUGGGGGCAACUUCGCUCCAGCUCAGAAGCUGGAAGUUGGCCAGGUCAUUGCGUAGGGUGGGAUGAGCGACCGGGCUGGUGUGGACAAAACGAUCAGGACCAAGGACAGCUCCCAUGGGUCUUGGCAUCAGGGUCUAAAGGCCAGGAAGGCGAGAGUCUGUACGAGCUGCCCAUUGCCCUGGUUUGUGGAGGAUCUCGCAAAUGAGGGCUUUUCGGGACCCCAAGACGAGGCCCGGCAACUCUUAGCGACCGCAGCCGCGAACAUAGGAGCCGUAAAUCAAAGCAAACAAAGCCAACCAGGGCGGGGAAGCUCUCUUGAGCAGGAAUGCAGCGUUUUACCGACAACUGUGGGCCCAGAGCCGGGUCACGGCUGUGGAUUUGAAGAACAGCUGGAUGCUCCGUGACAGGGAGAGAAAACACGGUCUUUCGCCUCUUCUGCGCAUGGGCCAGCACCUCUUUGCAAAUCCUCCACUUUCGGCAAUCGAGGCCACCUGGAGAGCAUCUUUGGAGCUCACUGCAGUUGGGGAGCACAGUGACUUCUGUAAGGAAUGGCCUGAAAUCAUCGUCUCAUCUUGUUUCCUGCCGACUGAGGAGCCAGGAGACUUCCCUGG
This 623-nucleotide long non-coding RNA is filed under the name Equus caballus (horse). Its description in RNAcentral is "lncRNA (ENSECAG00000051667.1)". Lineage: Eukaryota; Metazoa; Chordata; Mammalia; Perissodactyla; Equidae. The record is from RNAcentral.